UACGAAGGGUGCAAGCGUUACUCGGAAUUACUGGGCGUAAAGCGUGCGUAGGUGGUUCGUUAAGUCUGAUGUGAAAGCCCUGGGCUCAACCUGGGAAUGGCAUCGGAAACUGGCGACCUAGAGUGCGGUAGAGGGUAGUGGAAUUCCCGGUGUAGCAGUGAAAUGCGUAGAGAUCGGGAGGAACAUCCGUGGCGAAGGCGACUACCUGGACCAGCACUGACACUGAGGCACGAAAGCGUGGGGAGCAAACAGG
Molecule: ribosomal RNA, 253 nt
Filed under: uncultured bacterium
Lineage: Bacteria
Description: partial 16S ribosomal RNA
Rfam family: Bacterial small subunit ribosomal RNA
Source: RNAcentral